GAUGAACGCUGACCGAAUGCUUAACACGUGCAAGUCGAUGGGGAAGUGGUGCUUGCACCAUGGCAACCAUGGCGGACGGGUGAGUAACGCGUAAGGGACUUACCUGCAGGACUGGGAUAACAGGGGGAAACCCCUGACAAGACCGGAUAAUGUCAUGGAGCUGCAUGGCUUUAUGAUGAAAGGAGACGCCUGCGGAGAGCCUUGCGUCCUAUUAGCUAGUUGGUGAGGUAAUGGCUCACCAAGGCGAAGAUAGGUAGCCGGCCUGAGAGGGUGGACGGCCACAAGGGGACUGAGAUACGGCCCUUACUCCUACGGGAGGCAGCAGUGGGGAAUAUUGGACAAUGGGGGCAACCCUGAUCCAGCAAUUCUGUGUGCACGAAGAAGGUUUUCGGAUUGUAAAGUGCUUUCAGCAGGGAAGAAGUAAGUGACGGUACCUGCAGAAGAAGCGACGGCUAAAUACGUG
This 463-nucleotide ribosomal RNA is filed under the name uncultured bacterium. Its description in RNAcentral is "partial 16S ribosomal RNA". It matches the Rfam family "Bacterial small subunit ribosomal RNA", at positions 28 to 507 of the family's 1533-position model. The record is from RNAcentral.